This 92-nucleotide transfer RNA is filed under the name Dehalococcoidales bacterium. RNAcentral describes it as "tRNA-Arg". The record is from RNAcentral. Lineage: Bacteria; Bacillati; Chloroflexota; Dehalococcoidia; Dehalococcoidales.
CGACCUUUUAGUGGUGAAGCUAAAGGAAGAAAUUCUGGGUCUGCUGCCUUCUAAGCAGCGGGUCGCUGGUUCGAAUCCAGCCAGGGACGCCA